This 2114-nucleotide ribosomal RNA is filed under the name human gut metagenome. RNAcentral's name for it is "bacterial LSU rRNA". It matches the Rfam family "Bacterial large subunit ribosomal RNA", at positions 828 to 2925 of the family's 2925-position model. The record is from RNAcentral.
UCCAAUCGAACUCGGAGAUAGCUGGUUCUCCCCGAAAUAGCUUUAGGGCUAGCCUGAGGUAGUAAGUAUAGGCGGUAGAGCACUGAUCGGGCUAGGGGCCGUAAAGGUUACCGAACCCUGUCAAACUCCGAAUGGAUAUACUGUAGAGCCUUGGAGUCAGACUACGAGUGAUAAGAUCCGUGGUCAAAAGGGAAACAGCCCAGACCACCAGCUAAGGUCCCCAAUGUCGUACUAAGUGGAAAAGGAUGUGGGGUUUCAUAAACAACCAGGAUGUUGGCUCAGAAGCAGCCACCAUUUAAAGAGUGCGUAAUAGCUCACUGGUCGAGAGACCCUGCGCCGAAGAUUCCCGGGGCUAAAGUACGAAACCGAAGCUGUGGCUGUAUACGUAAAGUAUACGGGGUAGGGGAGCGUUCCCAUAGGGUAGAAGUCGAACUGGAAGGUUCGGUGGACUUGUGGGAAGUGAGAAUGUUGGUAUGAGUAGCGAAAAGAAAGGUGAGAAUCCUUUCCACCGAAAGCAUAAGGAUUCCUGAGCAACGAUCGUCGUCUCAGGGUAAGUCGGGACCUAAUCCGAGGCAGAGAGCGUAGGAGAUGGACAACUGGUUGAUAUUCCAGUACCGGUAGUAAUUGUUUGAGCAAUGGAGUGACACAGAAGGGCAGGCAAGCAUGCGAAUGGAAGAGCAUGUGUAAGCGUGUAGGGUGGUGCAUAGGCAAAUCCGUGCACUGAAAGCCUGAGGCGUGAUGCGGAGUGAGCAGAGAUGCGAGCGAAGUUGUUGACCCCACACUGUCGAGAAAAGCUUCUAGUGAGAGAGCUACCGCCCGUACCGUAAACCGACACAGGUAUGCGGGGAGAGAAUCCUAAGGUGCGCGGGAGAACCCUCGUUAAGGAACUCGGCAAAAUGUACCCGUAACUUCGGGAUAAGGGUAGCCACUGUUGUGAAGUCCCAUGCGGAUGGAGCAUAGAGUGGUCGCAGAGAAGAGGCCCAAGCGACUGUUUACCAUAAACACAGGUGCCUGCUAAAGCGAAAGCUGACGUAUAGGUGCUGACACCUGCCCAGUGCCGGAAGGUUAAGGAAGGAUGUUCGGAUUAGUCCAAAGCAUUCGACUGAAGCCCCGGUGAACGGCGGCCGUAACUAUAACGGUCCUAAGGUAGCGAAAUUCCUUGUCGGGUAAGUUCCGACCCGCACGAAAGGUGUAACGAUUUGGGCACUGUCUCAACGAGGGACCCGGUGAAAUUGAAAUACCUGUGAAGAUGCAGGUUACCCGCGACUGGACAGAAAGACCCCAUGGAGCUUUACUGUAACCUGACAUUGGGUUUUGAUACAUUACGUACAGGAUAGGUGGGAGGCAUGGAAAGCUGGACGCUAGUCUGGCUGGAGCCGACGUUGGGAUACCACCCUUGAUGUAUUGAAAUUCUAACCGCGAGAGUAACGAAAUCCGGGACAGUGUCAGGCGGGCAGUUUGACUGGGGCGGUCGCCUCCGAAAGAGUAACGGAGGCGCCCAAAGGUUCCCUCAGCGCGGCCGGAAAUCGCGCGAAGAGUGUAAAGGCAGAAGGGAGCUUGACUGCGAGUCAAACACGACGAGCAGGUACGAAAGUAGGGCUUAGUGAUCCGGUGGUACCGAGUGGAAGGGCCAUCGCUCAACGGAUAAAAGCUACCCUGGGGAUAACAGGCUAAUCUCUCCCAAGAGUCCAUAUCGACGGGGAGGUUUGGCACCUCGAUGUCGGCUCAUCACAUCCUGGGGCUGAAGUCGGUCCCAAGGGUUGGGCUGUUCGCCCAUUAAAGUGGUACGUGAGCUGGGUUCAGAACGUCGUGAGACAGUUCGGUCCCUAUCCAUCGCGGGCGCAAGAGAUUUGAAGGGGGCUGCUCCUAGUACGAGAGGACCGGAGUGGACGAACCGCUGGUGUACCAAUUAUCCCGCCAGGGGUACAGUUGGGUAGCUACGUUCGGAAAGGAUAAACGCUGAAAGCAUCUAAGCGUGAAACCAGCCUUAAGAUGAGAUCUCUCAUAGAGCAAUCUAGUAAGACACCUUAAAGAAGAUGAGGUUGAUAGGUCGGGAGUGUAAGUACAGCAAUGUAUUGAGCGGACCGAUACUAAUAUGUCGAGGGCUUGACUUA